This 2732-nucleotide long non-coding RNA is filed under the name Strigops habroptila (Kakapo). RNAcentral describes it as "lncRNA (ENSSHBG00005003795.1)". The record is from RNAcentral. Lineage: Eukaryota; Metazoa; Chordata; Aves; Psittaciformes; Psittacidae.
CUUGGCCUCAGGCUUUGUUUAUUGCACAGUCUUGUGUUAAGUAACAUGUAAGCAAACAACAAAUGAAGCAAUUUUCAAGAAUUCAUAGCACCUUCAACAAAUAAAGUGGUUUACCUUUCAGGUCAAAGCCCAACCUUAAACCGCCUUCUAUAGCAAAAAUUUAAAAAAAAAAAAAAAAUCUUCCUUACUUGAGUCUGUCAGUUCCUCAAGGAUUCUCCUGAAACUUAAGGCAUCUAGCUGCCAUCUCCAAACUUCUUCAGGAUCUGACCAUAACCUGCUAUGAAGUUUAUUAAGUUAUAUAGCCAAGAUGCACUUAGGGUGGCCUCUUCUUGAUUUUGACCUGAGCUUUGACAGAUCUUAGCUUUACUGUAACUAGGAGCUCCAACAUCUGACUACCUAUUGGCCCAUCCAGCCUCAGCCCUUUUUUAAUCCCAGCUAGUGUGAAUGGAUAAAGCAAUGAUUUAUUAAUGGAGAUAGAGUGGAACUUAUGUGAGGCCAGGUUCCUUUCCUGCUGAAAGAAAAUACUUCCUGGGUUGCUUUAAAACACAUAGGUUGGUUGCUAGUCUGUUACUGUAGAGAUCAUUCAGUUUCAGGCAUGAGCUGGACUGAGAGAUUAAUGAGUUUACUUUUUCCCUGCUUUAACUGUGCCAGAGCUGGGAGGAUGCAGAUGCAGGGGAGCUGGCUAUGGCACAGCUGGGAUGCUUACUAACGUAGACAAGUGGGACAUUUUAAUGCAGACGGCAGGAGACUGUGAUUGCCCUACAUACAGAUAGCCAAAAUCCUAAUCAACUAGCCUGCAACAACAACCUGCCGGAACCCAGGAAGCCUGUCAGCCUCAUGCUUGUAGUCCCCAGGCCAUCUAGGGAUAAUGAAAUUUGCUGGUCCAAGAAAGCUAAUCUAUUCCACUUUUCCAAACAAGCCUGCUCCCUAGUGAAAGCAGAAGCAUUCAUGUAGGUAUGGUUCAGAAACGAAAAGAAGGAUAAGACAAAGCAAGGCCAGUCAAGGCAGGGCAAUAAGGGACAAUAUUCACAAUCAAUCACACAUCUUUGACUUUUGAAUUUUCUAUAAGCAAGAAUAUCUUACUUCCAGAUUUGUUCUUAAACAAACAUCUCUACCUUAAAAAAAAAUAAUAAAUACCACUUAAAUAUAUGCUAAGCCAGAACUAUUUCUUUCUCCAAAUGCCUAUUUAAAUGUAUAAGUACUUGCUGUUUGUUAGAAAAUGUGUUUCUAAACACAUUUUAUCAAGUGAAGGAGAUUUGAGACAAAACCAACUGGAUUAUCCCUGCAUUUUUGUAGUUAGGGGAAUAACAUGUUUUGUUCCAUCAAUGUGUCCACUUUACAUUAUUCAGCACAAAGCUCUGUGAAAUAAGAAUCAUGGGAAUAUCACAGUAUAAAGGAAAAAGGUACAAAUAACAGCUUCAUAAACUGAGAAAUGUACAUAAAUAAAUCAUGUAGAUGGGGGCAGUUUGCUUAGCUGGCAAGAAAAAAAAUACGGAAAAUCUGCUUGUUAAACAAUAACCACAGAGUAUGCUUUUAUGGUGUUUUUCACCACAGUAAUUCAUAUUACAGAUAGAAGCAGUUGCAUGUUAAAUAAAAUCAUUCAGCAUUGUUCUCACAUUACAAAGAGCUGACUUAUGUUGUUUUUAGAUGCCUCCCAUUAUAAAGUAAAUAUUCCUCUGAUGUUAUACAUUUCAGAAAAUUUAAUAAAGAUGAACUGUAAAUAAAGUCACAGGGAGAUUUCAGACAGUUUUAUUAGCAGAUUGUUGAAAAGAAAAGAAAAUUAAAUACAAUAACAGUAAACGUGGUUCUCACAUUGAAACCAGGCUCAAAUAACUAGGCUACCAUAGAAAAAUUUCCAAUUCUUGCAUUAUGAUGUAAAAACAGAUUUUUGUACAGAUUUUGUACAACAAAAUUCGUAAUAACCUUUUUUCAUUUUUAGAAAACUUUAAAUAUAUAGAUAAAAAUAGACAAUUUUCAUAGGUCCUACAUGAAGAUGAGUAUGUUCUGUUCCAAGGGCUUGCAUAGAGCGCAAAUGUGGUUAUAAUAUAGAACAACUAGACAUUAAUAUCUUUAAGAUUACAAAAGCAUAUAAACAAUAACAUGAGCACAAUUUCUUCAUUAUCUAUGCAAAAAAAAAAAAAAAAAAAAAAUCCAAAUCAAAACCCAAAACUAAAAUACCAACCCAAAACCUGCAUAACUAAAGAGGGGCAAAAAAUUCAACUUACGGUAACAUCUCAUGGUCUGUAAUAUUUACACUGGUUUUAGCAAGAUUCUUUCUAAACAUCCAGCUUAUAAAUUGGUUCCCCCUUAAACCUUAACAUUUCCAUUUAUGUACCAAGCCAAACACUGAGGCAUUCCCAAAGGUCUUGAAAGUAUAUACUGUAAAACUACUAAACCUACUUACAGGUGACUCUAUGCAAGGAGCAGAGCAAUGGUAGAUGCUACUAUAUAUUUAUUUCAGUUGUAGGCUUUUAAUUCUCUUUCAGAUAUGAAUGAUUCAAAAGCUUGCCACAAGUCCAUCUAACUUUAUAGCUGUUAACCCUUUAAAGACUGCAUAUGAAAAAACUGGAGUACAGAAUCCCAUAUGUGUUCAAGCAACUACAAAAAUUAUGAAAGAAUCAUGGUUAGAAAAUAAUAUCGCUAGAAAGUAUUAGGUAACAAUAUUUAAUGAAAAAUAUUGCUCAAUAUUUCUUUAAAAAAAAUUACCAUGAUGUGAACUUGUAUAUACAUCU